UGGGGAAUAUUGGACAAUGGGGGCAACCCUGAUCCAGCCAUGCCGCGUGAGUGAAGAAGGCCUUAGGGUUGUAAAGCUCUUUCGCCAGGGAAGAUAGUGACGGUACCUGGUAAAGAAGUCCCGGCUAACUCCGUGCCAGCAGCCGCGGUAAUACGGAGGGGACUAGCGUUGUUCGGAAUUACUGGGCGUAAAGAGUACGUAGGCGGCUUGCCAAGUUGGAUGUGAAAGCCCGGGGCUCAACCCCGGAAUAGCAUUCAAAACUGGUUGGCUAGAGAUCGGAAGAGGUAAGUGGAAUUCCCAGUGUAGAGGUGAAAUUCGUAGAUAUUGGGAAGAACACCGGUGGCGAAGGCGACUUACUGGUCCGAUACUGACGCUGAGGUACGAAAGCGUGGGGAGCAAACAGG
This 404-nucleotide ribosomal RNA is filed under the name uncultured bacterium. RNAcentral's name for it is "bacterial SSU rRNA". It matches the Rfam family "Bacterial small subunit ribosomal RNA", at positions 355 to 776 of the family's 1533-position model. The record is from RNAcentral.